Molecule: ribosomal RNA, 399 nt
Filed under: uncultured bacterium
Lineage: Bacteria
Description: bacterial SSU rRNA
Rfam family: Bacterial small subunit ribosomal RNA
Source: RNAcentral
GACGAACGCUGGCGGCGUGCUUAACACAUGCAAGUCGAGCGGUAAGGCCCUUUCGGGGGUACGACGAGCGGCGAACGGGUGAGUAACACGUGGGUGACCUGCCCUCAGCUCUGGGAUAAGCCUGGGAAACUGGGUCUAAUACCGGAUAUGACUCCAUGACGCAUGUUGUGGGGUGGAAAGCCUUGUGCGGCUGAGGAUGGGCCCGCGGCCUAUCAGCUUGUUGGUGGGGUGAGGCCUACCAAGGCGACGACGGGUAGCCGGCCUGAGAGGGCGACCGGCCACACUGGGACUGAGACACGGCCCAGACUCCUACGGGAGGCAGCAGUGGGGAAGUCUUGCGCAAUGGGCGAAAGCCUGACGCAGCGACGCCGCGUGAGGGAUGACGGCCUCGGUUGUAAC